RNAcentral lists this long non-coding RNA (1356 nucleotides) under Lonchura striata (white-rumped munia). RNAcentral describes it as "domestica (Bengalese finch) lncRNA (ENSLSDG00000004149.1)". The record is from RNAcentral. Lineage: Eukaryota; Metazoa; Chordata; Aves; Passeriformes; Estrildidae.
AAUUGUAGUUAGAAUUUUGGAAAUGGAGUCAGAAACACUUCGAAAUGCGUGUCCCCUCAUGACUUCCCUCCACACCUUGCCUCAUAUUUUAAUCCCUUUUUCUCUCUACAUAUUUUCCUGCCUUUUUCUCCCCUCACAUUUCCCACGUUUUUUCCCCUCACACUUUCUGCAUUUUUCCUCUCCUCACACUUUCCUGCCUUUUUUCCCCUCAUUUUCCUCCCUUUUUCCCCCCUCACACUUUCCCGCCUUCUUCUUCCCUCACAAUUCCCAUCUUCUUCCUCUCCUCACAUUUUCUUCCCUUUUUCUCCCCUCACACUUUCCCACCUUAUUUCCCCUCACCUCACACUUUCUGCAUUUUUCCUCUCCUCACACUUUCUGCAUUUUUCCUCUCCUCACAUUUUUCUCCCCUCACAAUUUCCUGCUAUUUUUCCCCUCACAAUUUCCUAAUUUUUUUUUCCCCUCACAAAUUCCCGCCUUUUUUUCCCCUCACACUUUCCCGCCUUUUUCCUCCCCUCACUUUCCUGCUUUUUUCAUCUCCUCACAUUUUUCUCCCUUUUUCUCCUCUCACAUUUCCCCACUUUUCCCCUCACACUUUCCACAUUUUUCUCCCCUCACAAUUUCCUGCUAUUUUUCCCCUCACAAAUUCCCGCCUUUUUUUUCCCCCUCACAAAUUCCCACCUUUUUUCCCCCUCACACUUUCCUGCUUUUUUUUCUCCCCUCACAUUUUCCUCCCUUUUUCUUCCCUCACAAUUCCCCACAAUUCCAGGUUUUUGAGGAUUUUGGGGUACUUUGAGGUACCUGCAUCCAGCGUUUUGAGGAUUUUGGGGGAGUUUUGAUGAUUUUGGGAGGUUUUGAUGAUUCCGGGGUACCUGCACCCAGGUUUUUGAGGAUUUUGGGUGGUUUUGAUGAUUUUUUGAGGUUCUGAUGAUUUCAGGGUACCUGCCCCCAGGUUUUCGAGGAUUUUGGGGUACUUGGGGUACUUGCGUCCAGCGUUUUGAGGAUUUGGGGGGGGGUUUGAUGGUUUUGGGGGGGUUUUGAGGAUUUUGGGGUACUUUGGGGUACCUGCACCCGUGUUUUUGAUGAUUCUGGGGUACCUGGCCCCAGGUUUUUAAGAUUUUUGGGGUACUUUGGGGUACCUGCCUCCAGGAUUUUGAUGAUUCUGUGGUACCUGCCCCCAGGUUUUCGAGGAUUUCGGGAGGUUUUGAUGAUUUUGGGGUACCUGUCUCCAGGUUUUGAUGAUUGUGUGCUACCUGCCCCAGGUUUUUGAUGAUUUUGGGGAACUUGGGGUACCUGCCCCCAGGUUUUCGAGGAUUUUGGGAUACCUGCCCCCAGGUUUUUGAUGAUUUUGGGGUACCU